UACUUGGUUGAUCCUGCCAAGGAAGCACACUUAGGUCAUAGAUUAAGCCAUGCAAGUGUUAGUUCAGGUAACGAAACUGCGAAUAGCUCAUUAAUACGCUCAGAAUCUAUUUGGCGGCGACCAACAGGUCUUAAAUGGAUAGCAGCAGCAACUCUGGUGCUAAUACAUGCGAUUGUUUCUCCAGAUGUGAAUUAUGGAGGAAAAGUUGACCUCAUCAGAGGCACGCCAUUCGACUGAGUGACCUAUCAGCUUGUACUUAGGGUCUUUACCUAGGUAGGCUAUCACGGGUAACGGGCGGUUACCGUCGGACUGCCGGAGAAGGCGCCUGAGAGAUAGCGACUAUAUCCACGGGUAGCAGCAGGCGCGAAACUUUCCCACUCGAGACUUUCGGAGGAGGUAAUGACCAGUUCCAUUGGUGCCUUUUGGUACUGUGGAUAGGGGUACGGUUUUCCACCGUACCGAAACCUAGCAGAGGGCCAGUCUGGUGCCAGCAGCUGCGGUAAUUCCAGCUCUGCGAGUUUGCUCCCAUAUUGUUGCAGUUAAAACGCCCGUAGUCUGAAUUGGCCAGCAAUGGUCGUACGUAUUUUUACGUUCACUGUGAACAAAUCAGGACGCUUAGAGUAUGGCCACAUGAAUGACUCAGCGCAGUAUGAAGUCUUUGUUUUCUUCCGAAAACAAGCUCAAUGAGAGCCAUCGGGGGUAGAUCUAUCUCAUGACGAGUGGUGGAAUACUUUGACUCAUGAGAGAGAAGCUGAGGCGAAGGCGUCUACCUAGAGGGUUUCUGUCGAUCAAGGGCGAGAGUAGGAGUAUCCAACAGGAUUAGAGACCCUGGUAGUUCCUACCCUUAAACGAUGCCGACCAGG
Non-coding RNA from Trichomonas vaginalis G3, 863 nucleotides. The record is from Rfam. NCBI's taxonomy places the organism in Eukaryota, Parabasalia, Trichomonadida, Trichomonadidae.